This is a non-coding RNA of Agelaius phoeniceus (red-winged blackbird), 1061 nucleotides long. Lineage: Eukaryota; Metazoa; Chordata; Aves; Passeriformes; Icteridae. The record is from RefSeq and is a predicted model, not a curated record.
UUUCGCCGCAGUUUUGGCACAGCCCGGUCUCGGUUCCGAGCCGCUGGGUGCCGCUGUCCGACCACAGCCGGCAUCCCCGUGCCCUGGCACGCCGCUUCCGCCGCCACCGGGUCCGUACACGGCAGCACAGCAGGCGAAAACGGCAGCGCCUUGCAUGUAUCCUUCCGCGUCUCUCCGUCUGCCGGAACUUGAGGAGCCGGGACAUCACCGAGAGAUUUUUUCCCACCGCGCCAAGAGUUAGUGCUCAGCAGAGAGUUGGAAUCAUUACUGCUGCAAGGUCCGGGAGCUCUCCUCAUGCAUCUACCAAUCAGCCUCCAAUCUCCCCUGACAAAAGGAUAUUUGGACUUUUUCCUGGAGAAAUCUCUCAUAACUCAAGGUAACGACGCUGCUGCCGCUCCCAGCCCCUGCGUGUCUGCGGGUGCUGUCGCCGUUUGUGGGAUGCAUUUCUUUGUGGGCAAUCAGCAGAGCUGCCAGCCUCCCUGCUCCCCCUGGAACACAGCUCCACACAUCUUGUAGAGAUGCCAGAUUUGCAGCGUUGUCUUGUCAGUGUUUCCAGGAGUUCAAUAAACAUUUUAAUUAAAGGAAUAUCCUCCGAGCCAAGGCAGCCCCAGCACGGGGCAGGAUGACAGCCCCUCCCUGGCUCCUGGCCAGCAGGACUCUGCUUCCAAGGGUGAAAGCUCCAGCCAGCUCCUGUGCCAGGUGACAGGGAGUGGGGACAUGGCACAGCCACACACAGGUGCCUGGAGCUGCGUUCCUGGGGGAGUUUCUUUCUCCAGCUGCCACAAAGCUGCUACUUCACCUUCUGGGAGGCUGCCCAAGUCCAGACUGUGCCUACAAAAGACCUGGAACAAGCCCUGGAGUGAAGCAUCCCCCCCAGCUCUGGGAAUGGCUGUACCUAUCACUACAAUGAGGGGUUUGUCCCACCGGAAUUCCGAGCAGCUGAUGACAGGAACACCUUCCACAUCCUCGGGCCUGCUGGCUGUUCCCACCACUUCCCAGCCUUCUGCACUUUUAGCCUAGAAAAGGAAAGAAAUCAAGAAUUGCCAAAUACUCAAGCUUAA